This is a non-coding RNA of Cinara cedri, 369 nucleotides long. Lineage: Eukaryota; Metazoa; Arthropoda; Insecta; Hemiptera; Aphididae. The record is from the annotation of a GenBank genome assembly.
UAGAAAAAUUAUUUACAGAAACUGAAAAAACAUAAUUAAAAAAUAUACAUUAUUAACCCAGCUUAUACGCUCAGAAAUUAAAAUUUGGUGGCCCUGAAGUGGCCGUUUUAUCACGAGCAGGUAGGGUUGGUCAUCAAACGUCGUACGCACGUUAGUUAUUUAGAACUCGUAUACUUGGUUACCGCUUUAGUGCCUUCACUGACAGCGUGCUUUACCAAUUCGCCGGGUGACGUAAAUAUCGUGUAACUUAUCUAAUCAGUAAUCACCACGGUUUAAGAAAUGAGUAAAAGAUAGUCAUCCGGACCACGAUAAGAAAAAUAAUGAUAAGGAUAACCGAAAGAAAGUAUAUGUCUAGAGGUAAAGAGCCUG